RNAcentral lists this microRNA precursor (98 nucleotides) under Loxodonta africana (African savanna elephant). RNAcentral's name for it is "mir-544 microRNA precursor family". It matches the Rfam family "mir-544 microRNA precursor family". The record is from Rfam by way of RNAcentral. Lineage: Eukaryota; Metazoa; Chordata; Mammalia; Proboscidea; Elephantidae.
ACUACCUGGGGAUUUUGUUAAAAUGUAGGUUCUGAUUCAGCAGGUCUGGUGUGGAGCCUAAGAUUCUGCAUUUCUAAUGAGCUCCCAGGUGAUGCUGA